CUAAAUAUGAGGGUGGACCCAUAUAUAUAGGGUCACAAAAUAAUAAAUAGACCCCUACAAAUAAAACAAUCCCGAAAAGAUCCUAAACGACAAUAUGCAACUAAACCCAAAUGACAAUAUGCAAAUAAACUCAAUCAACAUAAAAUAAACACAACUAAAAUAAAUCAAUCCAAAAUAAAAUCAGGCUGGCUGAAUCGGCUGGGACCCGCUGAGUUGGCUGGAUCCUGUGGCGAC
RNAcentral lists this long non-coding RNA (234 nucleotides) under Phoenix dactylifera (date palm). RNAcentral describes it as "long non-coding RNA (PDAC_LNC008611)". Lineage: Eukaryota; Viridiplantae; Streptophyta; Magnoliopsida; Arecales; Arecaceae. The record is from RNAcentral.